UUCUCUUAAAAAUACAGGAAAAAAAGAAGGAGUAAAUUAAACAGAAACAGAUUAAUGGACAAGAUUGAAGAACUUUAUUUUCUUAAUGACAUCUUUAAUGACUUUAUUGGAAGGAUGCAGAAAAAAUACAAAAAAAAUAAAAUUUAACUAUUAAAAUUCCUUUUUGAUUUCAUAUGUUGUGAUACUUUGCUUAUUUUGUACAUUUGAAAUUCUGUCAAAGUUUAUUUUUUGAGAAUUUUGUACUUACCCAAACAGAAACAUCAAAUUCAACUUUAAUACUUCAUCUAGCUGGACUAUAAGCACAAAGAAAUAAUCUGCAAGAUAUUGAAACCCAAAAAUCAAGGCACAUCAUUGGUAAUGGACACAGCUAUUUAUAAAAGGUUUCUAGCAGUGCUAACAAAUUCUGAAAGAAAAAUAACUUAUAUUUUAACAUGACAAUUUGGUUUAUUGAAUUAAAGAAAGAAAUUCUACAUUAUUCAAGUCUUGUUUCUAUUACUAAUCCAUAGAAAUGCUUAACUAAAAGAUUUAUUUGAUAGAUUUUGUGCUCAUGAUUGCAUGUUGCAUCAUGGGUAUUUUCCUUAAGUCACCAGUUUUUACAUUGUCUAAUUGAAAACAUUGUAUAUAUUUCUUGAAGGUUCAUUGGUAAAAUACAAUCAACCAUUAUUUUUGCAACAGCUCUUUAUUAACAACUGAUGCCUAAGAUUUUUAAAUGGCAUAAAAUUGGAAGUGAAUUGUAAUAAAGCAAUUAUUAAAAUCUUAUAUUUAUUUAUUUUUCAAUAUACAGAUAGUAAAGUAUAAAAAGCCAUGGAAUAUUGCCAUCUUCAGCAAGCUGAUAAAUUCAGUAUUAAUGAUUGUAGUAAAAAGACAAUUUAUAAAUGUUGAAAUCUGAGAAACACAAAACUGUAAAAGUUUUAAAAUACAGUAUUGAAAUAUACCAACAGUAAUUAGAAAUCUUAUGUGAUAGUUUAAGGAGUAAUCUGCUGGUCUUAGACUUAAUUUGAACCAAAUAUGUUGAAAAUUAUAACAUGCUUGAAGGUUAAAUUCAGAAUUAUGUAUUUUUUGGCUCAUUGAUUGAUUGCAAAAAUUUUAGGUUUCUUAGACUAGAUGGGUUUGAUUUUCAGAAUAGAUUUUUAAUUUGUAGUCGCACUUUUUCUUUUUACUGCUAUGAUUUGUAAAUGACAGCUAAAUAAAGUUUUUUUUUGUGAAUGGAAACUUUUUAAAG
RNAcentral lists this long non-coding RNA (1222 nucleotides) under Mytilus galloprovincialis (Mediterranean mussel). The record is from RNAcentral. Lineage: Eukaryota; Metazoa; Mollusca; Bivalvia; Mytilida; Mytilidae.